GCCGGGAUGAACCACGGUGGUCCGGGGUGCAGGCUUCAAACUUGUAGCCGGUUGGUGUUGAAGCGGUUCGAUUCCGCCUUCCUGGC
Non-coding RNA from Schistosoma haematobium, 86 nucleotides. The record is from Rfam. Lineage: Eukaryota; Metazoa; Platyhelminthes; Trematoda; Strigeidida; Schistosomatidae.